RNAcentral lists this long non-coding RNA (332 nucleotides) under Phoenix dactylifera (date palm). Its description in RNAcentral is "long non-coding RNA (PDAC_LNC010733)". The record is from RNAcentral. Lineage: Eukaryota; Viridiplantae; Streptophyta; Magnoliopsida; Arecales; Arecaceae.
AUUAGACUCAAACUAUGCCAAUUAGGUGCCAACUCUUGGCUAACCCAUAUUAGAAUAUAAUCUAAUCAAAUUAAAUCAAUUAAGAAUCAGAUUCGAAUCCAAUUCGAAUCAGAUUCGAUUCCAAUUCGAAUCAGGAGCUAAGGUUUGCAACACCUGCUAGGAUGUUUAUCUUGCAAAUAUGAUCUAAUCCAAUUAGACCCUUGAUAAGUUUCCUUGUGUGUGACCCAUUGUGUUCCAUACUUAGCCAGCAAUAGGUGUGAGUGCGAGUUGACCCAACUUGAUUAGAACUCUUCUAAUCGUUUUAAGUCCAAACUGUGCGAACCCGAACUUAA